Molecule: long non-coding RNA, 302 nt
Filed under: Gossypium barbadense (sea-island cotton)
Lineage: Eukaryota; Viridiplantae; Streptophyta; Magnoliopsida; Malvales; Malvaceae
Description: long non-coding RNA (GBAR_LNC000075)
Source: RNAcentral
AAGAGCUAACUUUGUUGAAUGUUUUAGCAAUAUGAAUAUCCACCAAACUUAUAACCUGUGAAAGUUCUAAACAAUACCAUUAUGAAAACAAACUUAAGUAAAACUCUAACAUCUUUCUUAACUUGACAAAAAAAUUUCUUUCAUAUAGAAGAAGAUUGUAUUCUGCAUUCAAACUCCUUAAAGAGUGCCAGAGGUUUUUUUUUUUUUUUCAACAGUCGAACUGUGCUGUUGCCAGAGGUUUCUUAGUUUUGCAGUGAAAUUAAAUAUAAACUUGUAUAAUAUGAUAGGCUCCUUAUUCUUUU